RNAcentral lists this long non-coding RNA (891 nucleotides) under Callithrix jacchus (white-tufted-ear marmoset). Its description in RNAcentral is "lncRNA (ENSCJAG00000080943.1)". The record is from RNAcentral. Lineage: Eukaryota; Metazoa; Chordata; Mammalia; Primates; Cebidae.
AAACAUAUCUUAUGCAUCAACAUAUACUUUCAUUUUGACUGUAAAGUGCACAUCCCAAAUGUUUUCUUUAAAAAAAAAUCUUUUUUGAGAAUAACCAUAAAUCAAAAUUCUAAGGGAAAUCAACAUAACUAAAAUAUUUGUAUGAGCACUGUCCUUAAGAAAUAAGAAACUGGGAGAAGUAGUUACACUCACCUUCUUCCUCUCAUUCCCAGAUACAGGAAAAGACCUUAACUGAGGGACGGUUUCCUGCUGUGUCCUCAGAACCCCAGGGCCUGGCUCAGAGAGACAAAUAUUUGCAGAGUAUGAAAGGAAAUAUGCACAAGGAUAUUCAUCAUGGCAUAAAGAGAGUGGAAAAUUGGAAGUAAUCCAAAUGGAUUUCAAUAAAGGAAUGAUGACCCAUAAAUAAAACGUAAGUGAUAUGCUGCAUAUGGAUUACACAUUGUUGAGGGAAAGGGCAGGUUAUUGCAUAGCAUGUGUAGAAUGGUCUUAUUUAUGGAAAUAAUAUGCAUGUGUAUCUAAGCAGAGAAUGUGUCUAGGCACAGAAAGACAGUCACCAAAUGUUAACAGUUACUGUUGAUUGGUCGAAUUUGGGAUGUUUUUCUCCUUUUUUUUUAUACUUUCUAAUUUGUUUGAAUUUUUAGUGAGCUUGUUGUCAUUUUAACAAAAUAAUAGUAUUUUCAAGAAUGGAGGGAUUAUUAUAGAGAAAUGUAAGGAAGGCAGAGUCAUAAUUGGCAAGUAAAAGAAACUCGAGAAGGGCAGAUCCAAGACAGCUAAAUAGGAACAGCUCUGGAGGGCAGUUCCCAAUGAGAACAACACAGAGGGUGAGUGAACAUUGCAUUUCCAAACGAGUUAUUACUGCCCACAGACCAGGAGAUUCCCAGGCUGAAAAGC